CCUACGGGAGGCAGCAGUAGGGAAUCUUCCACAAUGGGCGAAAGCCUGAUGGAGCAACGCCGCGUGAGUGAUGAAGGCCUUCGGGUUGUAAAACUCUGUCAUUCGGGACGAACCGGAGUCUGAGGAAAUGCAGACUCUCUGACGGUACCGGAGGAGGAAGCCCCGGCUAACUACGUGCCAGCAGCCGCGGUAAUACGUAGGGGGCAAGCGUUGUCCGGAUUCACUGGGCGUAAAGCGCGCGCAGGCGGUGAUGUAAGUCUGAGGUGAAAACCCGAAGCUCAACUUCGGGACUGCCUUGGAUACUGCGUCACUUGAGGAUAGGAGAGGCAAGGGGAAUUCCACGUGUAGCGGUGAAAUGCGUAGAGAUGUGGAGGAACACCUGUGGCGAAGGCGCCUUGCUGGCCUAUUUCUGACGCUGAGGCGCGAAAGCGUGGGGAGCAAACAGGAUUAGAUACCCUGGUAGUCCACGCUGUAAACGAUGAGUGCUAGGUGUAGGUGGGCUCAUACCCAUCUGUGCCGAAGCUAAACGCAUUAAGCACUCCGCCUUGGGGAUUACGGGUUCGCAAGCUUGAAACUUCAAAAGGAUUGACGG
RNAcentral lists this ribosomal RNA (592 nucleotides) under uncultured bacterium. RNAcentral's name for it is "bacterial SSU rRNA". It matches the Rfam family "Bacterial small subunit ribosomal RNA", at positions 338 to 916 of the family's 1533-position model. The record is from RNAcentral.